UGCCAGCCGCCGCGGUAAUACGGAGGGGGUUAGCGUUGUUCGGAAUUACUGGGCGUAAAGCGUACGUAGGCGGAUUAAUAAGUUAGAGGUGAAAAUGCGGGGCUCAACUCCGUAUUGCGUUUGAAACUGGCAGGCUAGAGUACUGGAGAGGUGGGCGGAACUACAAGUGUAGAGGUGAAAUUCGUAGAUAUUUGUAGGAAUGCCGAUAGUGAAGACAGCUCACUGGACAGAUACUGACGCUAAAGCUCGAAAGCGUGGGGAGCGAACAGGAUUAGAUA
Molecule: ribosomal RNA, 278 nt
Filed under: uncultured bacterium
Lineage: Bacteria
Description: partial 16S ribosomal RNA
Rfam family: Bacterial small subunit ribosomal RNA
Source: RNAcentral